This 2016-nucleotide ribosomal RNA is filed under the name Triticum aestivum (bread wheat). RNAcentral's name for it is "partial small subunit ribosomal RNA". Lineage: Eukaryota; Viridiplantae; Streptophyta; Magnoliopsida; Poales; Poaceae. The record is from RNAcentral.
GCAGUCCUCAGCCAGUCAGAGACUUGCGGCGGCGCGCUCUCUCUCGGUACCGCCGGCGUGACAACGGUCUCUGCCGCAGCGCCGACGACUGAGGCCUCUGGGAGGCUUGCCGCCGGUUCGUCAGAGUCCCGUAGGUGGAACAGGGGUAGAGGGAGGCGGCGCGGUAGUUCGCGAUGGAGGCGCUGGUCCUGUUCUGCGUGUACGUGGCUUUCCACGACGACGAAAGCAGGAGGAAGCUCGCGCGUUUCCCGUGGCCACGGCUCGACCGACGCCGCAGUUGGGCAUCGCGUGAGGAGCUGCUGGGGGUACGCGGACGCUCACGGCUCGUCGCCUGACGUGCCACCUUCCAAGUCAGGAGGAUGCCUCUAUAGCCGGAAGCCAUGGCGCUCCUACUCUGCCAGCGCAUACAGCGGAGGGCGUACGGACGUUAGAUGCGGCGUACGGUGGCGCACGAGGCACUCCAAGCAGCAGCCAGAGGUCCAAAACGUGGAUUCUUGCACAACCUGAAACCUCGCCCCGGUUCGAGUCGUGAAACCCGUUACUCCCGUCACACCGGCUUCAGGUAUCUCUCCCAAUUAAACUAGCUCGGGAGGUUUCUUUACGUCUCUCGCCCUGUCUGGGAAGAACUAUUAAACUUCCCUAACGGUGAAUAGGUGUCGAUACUAUCGUAGGUUCUCAACUUGGCGUCGUAGCUCUUUGUACUCGCUGCAGUGCUGGAACAUUAUAGUAGAAUGCGUGAACCCCUCUAAGGAAGUAACUUACUGGCAUAUUGUUAACACUCCGUUGAAACCCUGGAUUGUUUUCUACAAAACCAAAACAAUCUCGGACCUUGAGGAGUUCCCAGUUUCUAAUAUUCGGUUUACGCGAGUAUAUAGGAAACCUACCUUUUCUCUUUCACGGCGUUCUCGCUUUUUAGAUGUCCACGACGAGGUUCAUUUUACUUCUCAUACCAAGAAGUUCUUCUAAACGACUUUCUACCACGGAAACACCAACGGGGCACAGGAGUACUACCAGCCACAGGCAACCUCUUAAGUCUAUUUAUGACGGUGAAACAAGUCUCUAACCUCUCCUGCAGUAGUGUCGCAUAGAUGUUCUCCAGUUUUCCACACGGAAACGCACCAAAACUCCUACUCUUUAAGACAAUACAACGAAAUUCUUCCCCGUUCGCUGGUCUCCUUCGAACCGGUGAACUACCUUACUUUAAACUAUGAGAAUUUCUUGCAGUACGGUUCUCUUCGGGUCUUCUAGAAUAGUAACUGAUACUGCUAGUUAAAGGUUCACCCCUUCUACUUCUUCGAGGACUGUCGCUGCUCCUGUCAAACCAGGGUAUACGAAGACUAUGUGUUCUUGAUUCAGAUAAGGUACUCUCACCUCUCCUCCUCCUUCUCCUUGGGUAGGCACGACUAGAACCUCCUCCGACCCCGGCCUAAUAUAUGUCGGGGUAAGCUUCUCCUUCUGUUCAUGUCUACCUACAAACGGCACGGUGGUUUGCCCUACGCAGACUUCCGCGCAAGCUCGCACACCACCAGUGUGUUUCGUUCUUGGGACGAAACGUAGAAGUCCGGGCCUUCAGCGAAACCCCACUGGAAACCGGUAAAAUCCGAUGUCUAAGAAGUUCGAACCAACAUCGGUGUAAAAUCCCCCGAGGGUCAGACAAGUUGUCACCUGAGCGAGCCACUUUCAUCUUAGACCGCAAUCACCAUUGAAAACAAAGUAGCCAUAAACAAAAACUUUCCAAAACGAAGAAGGUACGUAAAUAUAUAAACAUUGCCUCGAUCAGUCGUUUGGAGUAGAGUUAAAGAACUAUAGUCCAUACACGGCCUCGAGACUCCAACCUUGAGACGUAGUAACGUUGCGACAAGCGGUUGUUACAUUGACGAAUGGUAGUAACCUAUUAUUAUUGUCGGUUGUCGGGUCGUGGAUUAUUAUAGUUUACAUGAGGGAUGCAUGGAACAAAACCAUGUCUCCAUCAUGGAGGAUUAUAAGUAUUGUAGGAUAAAUAUGCUAACUCGAACG